UAGAGUUUGAUCAUGGCUCAGAUUGAACGCUGGCGGCAUGCCUUACACAUGCAAGUCGAACGGUAACAGGUCGCAAGGUGCUGACGAGUGGCGAACGGGUGAGUAAUGCAUCGGAACGUGCCCGAUCGUGGGGGAUAACGGAGCGAAAGCUUUGCUAAUACCGCAUACGAUCUACGGAUGAAAGCAGGGGACCGCAAGGCCUUGCGCGGACGGAGCGGCCGAUGGCAGAUUAGGUAGUUGGUGGGAUAAAAGCUUACCAAGCCGACGAUCUGUAGCUGGUCUGAGAGGACGACCAGCCACACUGGGACUGAGACACGGCCCAGACUCCUACGGGAGGCAGCAGUGGGGAAUUUUGGACAAUGGGCGAAAGCCUGAUCCAGCCAUGCCGCGUGCAGGAUGAAGGCCUUCGGGUUGUAAACUGCUUUUGUGCGGAACGAAAAGACUCCUUCUAAUAAAGGGGGUCCAUGACGGUACCGUAAGAAUAAGCACCGGCUAACUACGUGCCAGCAGCCGCGGUAAU
Molecule: ribosomal RNA, 520 nt
Filed under: uncultured bacterium
Lineage: Bacteria
Description: bacterial SSU rRNA
Rfam family: Bacterial small subunit ribosomal RNA
Source: RNAcentral